This 287-nucleotide long non-coding RNA is filed under the name Erythranthe guttata (spotted monkey flower). RNAcentral's name for it is "long non-coding RNA (EGUT_LNC000938)". The record is from RNAcentral. Lineage: Eukaryota; Viridiplantae; Streptophyta; Magnoliopsida; Lamiales; Phrymaceae.
GGGGACCAACCUCCACUACUAUAAAUUAAAAAAAACACCCCACUUUAUUCUCAUUUAUAUAAAUCACACAAAAAACAAUAUCAAAAAAGAUAUUAGCACAACAAAUUAAGUUUUUACUUUUUAUAUAUUCAUUAUUCAGAGUCGUCCUACUCCCUUUAAUUUUCUUGCCAGCAAAUAACCACUUUACAACUACAACUCUUCCUUCCUUCCUUCCUCUAUUUCAUUUUCAUUCAUUCAACUUCAUAUUCUUCCACUUUCUCUCUCUCUCUCCCAAUUCAUUCAUUCAU